AUGGUAAGUUUCCAUUUCGGGGGAUUCCUUUUCUGAAAAUUCAACACUAAUUGCCACAUGUUGCGACCUCAUUCGUCCUAAGUCACUAAUCUGUCCAUGUCAUUAAAGUUUUACAUUUUUUCCACCAUUUCAAAACUUUAAAAAUGCAUAGAAAAUAGCUCCAGUGUCGGAAAAAUUCACCGAAAAAUGUCACGGACCACUGGCGGGGCCCACUUCACAACUGCGUCUGAAUUUUUAGUCAUUGGAAUCACAACGUACCUACUAAUGUGGUAUAACUUGUUUGGUAGGUUAUUUGCUAGUGUACAACUUUGUGAACCAACUAUAUAGAGGAAGCAAAAUUUUCAAAAAUCUUGUGAAAUAGGAUGUGAUCGGUAUAGUAAAAUAUGGCUACGAUAGAAAAAUCACUUUAAUUUGCCAAUGUUUGGGCCCUGAUCAAAGCGGUCAACCCUAUUUACGUUUAUGCUUCACUAAGGAGAGCCCUAUCCUCGGGUGGUAAAUGUCCCCCAAAGUUUUACAUGGGUGGUUAAAUCUCAUCUAUGUGAGACUUUAUUGUGUUGAAGAAUCCACCAAACUAGGUCACAAAGAGGUAGGUAAGAUAGUUUUCGUAUGAUAAGUGAAUAUGAAUUAGGGUUGACCGCUUUGAUCGAGCCCCGAACAUUGUUGAAUCCAGUUGAAUUUUAUACCAUAGUCAUGUUUCACUAUAAUGAUCACAUCAUACGGUCAAUUUUCAUUUUGUGAAUUUUAGUUAUCGAAAUCAUAACAUGCCUACUAAAGUAAUAUAACAUGUUUGAUAGGUUAUAUGCUAGUGUACAACUUUGUGAACCAACUAUAUAGAGAAAGCAAAAUUUUCAAAAAUCUCAUGAAAUAGGAUGUGAUCAGUAUAGUAAAAUACGGCUACGGUAGGAAAAUCACUUUAAUUUGUCAAUGUUUGGGCCCCGAUCGAAGCGGUCAACCCUAUUUAUGCUUAUGUUUAUGCUUCAAUAAGGAGAGCCCUAUCCUCGGGUGGUAAACGUCCCCAAAGUUUUACAUGGGUGGUUAUGUCUCAUCUAUGUGACACUUUAUUGUGUUGAAGAAUGUCACGUCCCGACUUUUAUAUUUUUACCUUAUUUACUAGCUUGUUUAUAAUAAGAAUUUUACCGUCUCCGUCAUUGAGUUAAUGGUUUAAUUGGUCCCUAGAGGGGUUUCGGGGACAAUUAUGUGCGGAGGAUUACUCGUAGGAGGAUUUUAUGACGACGGUAAAAAUGGUAAAUUUUAGCUAGUAAAAGGUAAUUUUUAUUCGGGUAUUAUUUUUUCGGGGUGUUUUAUUUUGGAGUGGGUUGAUAUAUGAGUAUUGGACCGGUUUGGAGAGGCCCAAACCCAUCUCCCUCUUUUUCUCUUCUCCCUCUCUCUCGUUUUCUCCUUUCCCCCGAGUCUUCUCCCCUGCCGGAUCGCCCAGCCCACGUCUGCCACCGGCCGCCGCUCCACCCCAGUUCGGACCUCCAUCUCCUCCUCUCCCUCCCCGGCCUAGCCCCCGAGCCUCUAACCCGCCGGAAGAGGAGAAAACCCGCCGGAAACGCCGGGAAGCAUUUCGCCGGAACUCCCUCCUCCGGCCACCAAUCUGGGCAAGCUUGGUACGGUUUUGUAGCCCUCCAACCCAGCAGCCUUGCCCUAAAAUGACUCACCCUCUCUUGAGCUAGGUAAGGAGAAAUGUGGAGUUGAAAUUUCUAUGGCUUUUAGGUGUUUGUGUUCGAUUGCCCUAGUUAGGCUUGGAUUUUGGGUUUGUGCUGGUCAUGAAAGUUGUAGAGCAUGAUGAGGAGAUUAUUCUGUCAAAAUUUCAUAGGUUAAGGAGGUCGCCGGAAUUGGCCUCCGGCCGCCGCCGCCGCCGCUGCUGGUUGGGAGAUUUUAAUGUUGUUAAAUUUGGAAUAUUAAGGGGAGUUUAUUGAAGUGAGUUAUGGAAUUUUUGGAUGAGUUUUGGAUAGGUUUAUGAAUUUCCGAAGUUAGUAUUUUUGGCGGUUAAUUUAUGUAGAAUCCGGCCGUUGGAUUAAGUUGUUUAAUAUGUGGGAAGGUGUAGUUACGGCUGCUGGUUCUAGGGUUGAAAUGUGGACCAUUUCGAAGUUAGGCAAUGAUGAGCGUGUUAAUGGCUCUCGGUUAAUUUCUGCCUAUUUUGUGUAAAUAUUGGAAUUUCGGCUGGGAACUUAAUAUUACAUUUGGAACAGGUCGUGAGGAGGCUCGAGCUGAUGAGGCCCCAGAUCGACAUCAGGCUUAGGCCUAAUUUGUGAGUGGACUUUUGUUUUAAAUAAUGUGCAUGCGAAAUAAUUUAUGUUGUUGGAGAAUGACCGAAAUUGAGAAUUUCGGUGAGUAUAUAUAUAUAUAUAUAUCCAUAUGUGGAUGAUUAUGAGAAUAAUAUGUAUAUGAGAGAAUGCUAGCUAGCUAUACGUGCUUUUCCACCAUACUGAGGUAAAUUCCAUUAUGGUGCAACGUGAGCGUUAGACGCAAUCGUUGUAGCCCUAUAUAAAAAUAAUAAUUUAUAUAGGGGAUAAUGCGCGUAUAUUUAUACACCGUCUUUUUCAUCAUAAUGAGGUAAAAUGCCAUUAUGGUGCAACGUGAGUAUUAGACGCAAGCAUUGUAGCCUUGUGUGAAUUUUCUAUUUGUUUUAGUUGUUUCAAGAAAAUUCAUACAAGGGAUAUGACGAGUGUAAUACAUACAUAUUUUAUUUUAGCCUGAGAGGCUGUAUUUUAUUGAGCAUUGGAGACUGGCCGGAGCUAGUCAUGAAAUUUCCAGUUUUUCGUGUUGAGCGUUUUGAGUUGUCGCAUGCAGCAUGUUUUUCUAUGGAAAAGUAAAAUUGGGAAAGCAUAAAGAAUUAUUUCAUUAAUUUUAUUUUUGUCCACUCACUCUAACGUGUUCAAAUGUUUCCCCUGGGCCCUUCGUUUUAAAAUGCCCAGUCUGCAGAGUUCGGGUUGGACCUAGUAGGAGACGAGGCAUAGUCACUCGCAUUUCCACCACUUUUCAUCAGUAGGUUACAUGUUUAACCUACCUGUGGUUUCUUUUUCCGCUAGUGUUUAGUAGCUCUAAAUACUUGGGUUUAAUGUAUAUUAUUUCGGUUGUAGGGUGAAGACUUGUUGACGUCUUAGAAUAUUUGUUGGAGGAUUUAUGGUAUCUUUUGGAUAAUUAUAUUUGAUGUUGGAUAAUGUUGUGUUGUUGGAGGUAGUAAAUUUUGGGGAGCACGUAGGCUCCCGGAGUUAAGGUUGGAUUAAAAAUUUUUAGAAGUGUUUGCAAGUUUUCGUUAGGAAGGGUUGUCCAUUUUCAAGGGAAGUUAUGCCGAUUUUUCGGUAAUAUCUUUCUUGGAGGUGGUCCCCGCACGAGUUACUCCGGGUUUCAGAGUGAAAUUCGGGGUGGGUCGUGUCAAAGAAUCCACCAAACUAGGUCACGAAG
This 3411-nucleotide long non-coding RNA is filed under the name Fragaria vesca (wild strawberry). RNAcentral describes it as "long non-coding RNA (FVES_LNC005095)". Lineage: Eukaryota; Viridiplantae; Streptophyta; Magnoliopsida; Rosales; Rosaceae. The record is from RNAcentral.